Molecule: long non-coding RNA, 361 nt
Organism: Ornithodoros turicata
Lineage: Eukaryota; Metazoa; Arthropoda; Arachnida; Ixodida; Argasidae
Exons: 3
Source: RefSeq, a predicted model, not a curated record
AAUCAGUAUUGGACUUGCUCGACACUGUCAAAAGGAGCACACUGCAUAACUACUUUGGGUUUACAGUAGUUUCGAAUUUGGGGCCCUACACAAGUGAGCGUUUCGUUCACAUUGAACUGGAACUGGAGAAAGCAGUUUCAGGGGUCACAAAGGUCACCGAAAGAUGGGAUCGCUGCGUCGAACAUCUUCAGAGAUACGCUGAGCAUGCAUUGGGGCGCAUGUACGUAGAGAAAAUGUUCAAACCUGAAGCAAAGGAAGAGAUGGUGACAUUUGUGGAGGAGUUAAAGAAAAUAUUCCACAAACUUAUCUGCAAGAAGAAAUGGAUGGACGGAACGACAAAAAGGGAGGCUUUAAAGAAGGU